Molecule: long non-coding RNA, 810 nt
Filed under: Homo sapiens (human)
Lineage: Eukaryota; Metazoa; Chordata; Mammalia; Primates; Hominidae
Description: HSALNT0058330
Source: RNAcentral
UAAAAAUAUCCCAUCCAUUUUCAACACUCCAGAGCCAACAACAACGCAAGAACCUUUGGUGGGCAGCCAAAAGAGAAAAGCAAGGAAAACCAAGAUUACACACCUUGUCAGGACAGCAGAUGGCCGGGUAUCACCAGCAGGAGGUACUUUGGAUGACAAACCAAAGGAACAACUGCAGAGGAGUCUCCCUAAAGCAACUGAGACAGACUGCAAUGACAAAUGCUCACACAACACCGAGGUCGGGGAGACGCGGAGCAGUACUCCAGAAAUGCCUGCCGUGUCUGCGUUCUUUAGCCUCGCUGCGCUGGCUGAAGUGGCAGCCAUGGAAAAUGUGCACAGAGGUCAGAGGUCAACUCCGCUCACCCAUGAUGGACAGCCAAAAGAAAUGCCGCAGGCUCCUGUACUUAUUUCCUGCGCUGACCAGUGAAGCGCCCUUUCAUUGUAAAACAUUGUGCUUUACCUACUACCCUAGCCUUGUCUUUACCGAGGGAUGCUAGUGAGUCCAAGUGGUGGAAAAUAUAGACUGCAAACAAGUGCUUGUUGCCCCACACGGCCCAGAUUCACUUGAAGCAGAAGUUAGCAUCCUGGGCCAGUUUGUUCUCUCAGAACCCAGAAUCUUUGAGGGUAAGGUUAUCUGUCUGAUACUGAGCAGAAACAGAAUGAUCCUGGAGCUUUGCUUUCUAUUGAAGGCUUUUGACGGUAAUAGGUGGUAACUUGGUAAAAGGCUGCCUUUACUGUAGCUCACCCAGCAUCUCUUUUACCAACCAGAGAGUGUGAAACUAGUUUCAUAUAUUACCUAGUUAUUCUUUC